Molecule: microRNA precursor, 57 nt
Filed under: Chlorocebus sabaeus (green monkey)
Lineage: Eukaryota; Metazoa; Chordata; Mammalia; Primates; Cercopithecidae
Description: miRNA (ENSCSAG00000021179.1)
Source: RNAcentral
AACCGGGUCCCAGCCUUCAGCUGGUUUCGGACACAUGGACCUGGCUGGGACAGUAUG